Molecule: long non-coding RNA, 296 nt
Filed under: Bos taurus (domestic cattle)
Lineage: Eukaryota; Metazoa; Chordata; Mammalia; Artiodactyla; Bovidae
Description: long non-coding RNA NONBTAT025823
Source: RNAcentral
ACAGUCACAUAGUUCGCUACCCCAGUGAGAGUGAGGAGCACUCUGUUGUCUCUCUGCUCAUCAGUAGCACGGAACUACCUUACCUAUUCACACCGAAUUUCCCACCAUCUUCAGUGGAGUGGGAGCACUAAAUGUUCGCUAAGUGUCCAGGAGGAAUGGCUGGGGAUGACUGGGAGAGCAGCACCUGAGGGGCCUUGCUCUUGGUAGUAGUGAAGGCCGAUGCAGUAGCCUCCUAUGAGAAUAGAUGACUGAAGGCCAGGCUCAACAAUGUCCAUCUUGGCAAAGCAUCAUUUAAA